This is a non-coding RNA of Actinobacillus minor NM305, 123 nucleotides long. The record is from Rfam. Lineage: Bacteria; Pseudomonadati; Pseudomonadota; Gammaproteobacteria; Pasteurellales; Pasteurellaceae.
UGUCAUAGCUGAGUUAGAGAUCGGCUAUUGAUGUAUUAUCAACCCUUAACAAAAAGGAAAUUAAAAAUGUCUCUAAGCGUAGAAGCAAAAGCAAAAAUCGUUGCUGAAUUUGGUCGUGAUGCA